Scylla paramamosain (green mud crab) is the source of this 1221-nucleotide long non-coding RNA. RefSeq lists it as uncharacterized. The record is from RefSeq and is a predicted model, not a curated record. The transcript is spliced from 2 exons. Lineage: Eukaryota; Metazoa; Arthropoda; Malacostraca; Decapoda; Portunidae.
UUAUUAUUAUUAUUAAUGUUAGUAGUACUAGUAGCAGAAGUAUCAGCAGUAGCAGUAGUAGUUGUUGUUGCUGUUGCUGUUGUGUACCGCAGGACUGCUGCCAGUGUCUUCUGUUGCUGUUCUUGUGGCGCAGCGUGGCUUGGGCUCCUCUACCUGCGUCCUUCCCGUCAAUUCCACGUGGAUUCGGAAGCAGCAGAGAUCAGAAGGUGGAGGGAAAGGACAAGUAGAGAUUAGGAUGAGGAAAGAUGAGAUACGGAAAGACGUGUGAGAAUUAGAGGGGUUGACGCCGGCCAUACCAUAACACAAACAGAAAAAGGAGGGGAGGAAAGGUGUUCACGUAGAUGCUUCCCAGGAGGCAGAAACACAUGUCAGCUGGACUCGUUCAUAUGGGAGAAAGAUCAGGUGUCAUUUCCUGGCAGACUCAAGACACCUUGCGAUAUGCGGGUUGACCCCUCAGUAUGGCCUCUCAUCCUAGAACAAAACUAGUGGGAAGGCCAAAAACUUAUCACACCCACACAUAACGUGAUGCUAAAAUCACCAAUAACUUCCACGAAAGCCUAUUAAAAGUAGUAGAUACAGCGCCAAAACGUUUGAUAAUAGAGACUGUUGUUUUUUGCUCCCACUUCCGUCUUCUGGGAGGAAGUAGUAGAUACCUAUCAAAAUGGUAAUUACUCUCAGGAAGGUUUCAUACACACUAACAUGGGUGGAUUCUGUGAACUUGCCUACGACCCAGCUGUGGCCUUCCUGGUGUCUGGUUCCUGGUGUUCGAGGCUACGUUGCGCCCAGUUCAGCUUGGAUUUUUUUUUUUUUUAUGAUGUUUUGAUAUUCUUGAAAACCCUUAGACAAUAUAUUUCUUUAUCAUUCUUUUGUCUCAUUUCUUUUCAAUUUUGCAUAUAUUUUGCCAUUUUUCAUUCUCUCUUUCUCUGUGAUUAGAGAGAGAGAGAGAGAGAGAGAGAGAGAGAGAGAGAGAGAGAGAGAGAGAGAGAGAGAGAGAGAGAGAGAGAGAGAGAGAGAAUUGAUAUCAUAUAUUUUUACUUCGUGUCAAAAUUUCAUUCAGUUCGUACUUGAAUCGUGCUAACCACUAUAAGGAUUUUCACUAACAAUGGAAUUGGAAAUCACAUCGAAAUAACAAUGGAGGCUACUUAUUUAUAAUUCAAGUGAUAAUUCAGCAAGUAUUCUGUAUCACUGAUAAAUAAAGAAAUAAAAAAAAUGAGAACCUGA